Schistocerca nitens (vagrant locust) is the source of this 1454-nucleotide long non-coding RNA. RefSeq lists it as uncharacterized. The transcript is spliced from 4 exons. The record is from RefSeq and is a predicted model, not a curated record. NCBI's taxonomy places the organism in Eukaryota, Metazoa, Arthropoda, Insecta, Orthoptera, Acrididae.
UGAAUGUAUUGUUGUUAAUCUUUCGUGGCACCGCUGGUGACCAUGGCUACUGGGGUAGGAGUUCACCCUGGUGUUGAGGGAUGGCAGCAAUUCGGUGCUGCUGUGGCCCCUGAGGGAUCACUCCCCAUUGUCGCCCAAGUCCAUGGUGGUGGACUUAGAAUUGUGAGCUAGUCUGGUGGAGCUGGCUGUCCCAUAGCAUGCAGGAAAUUGAUUUGGACCCGAUGUUGUGGAGGAUGCUGCCAGACUGCAUAAUCCAGCACACAACUGCAAUGGUGAAGAAUCCACAUUAAUGUAAAUACAUGGCUUCUCUGAAUAUUAUUUCAAGAUGCAGCAGUUAAUAAUUACAAGUGACAGCACUUGCAACCUGGACGUAAGCAUUUCUCACAUAAACUUUAGCAGGCCCAGUGUGUCACUGGUUUCUACACCAGCUGUCGCUUCAGUCUCUCUGCCAGUCACAGCCAGCACCAUCCACUGUGGUGCCCAUGGAGGUCGACACUCCUCCACUGUCGCCACCGCUGAUGUCACCGAUGUUGGCGCCCAUUACCCGCGGCCUGAACCGGUGUCUGUCGACACAACCACAGGUGCCCACACCGUGGGGCCUGAGGGGGCCCGUGCCCCCUCAAAAAUUCAUUUUGGGGGGCGGGGAGGGACGGAGCCCCCAAUAAUUUAAGAAAAUUAUUAGUUGUAUUAUGCUUUGUAAAAUCACAAAAUUAUGUCAGAUUUUUUUAUUUUCUUUGUUUGAUGAUAGUUACCUUUAAAAUACAUCCAGUAAAGAGUUAAAACAAAUAAGUAUUACGGUAGUAGGCAGCUUAACUGAAAAUGAGUGGUGUGAAUCAUGAUAGCGUUACAGUACUCUGGACACACUUAGAAUUUGUCCUGGUGUGUUAGCCUUUGGGUAAAGUCUGGCACCAGCGAGCAGUGCUGUGGCCGCGGCAACAUCAAAAGGACUGGAGCAGAAGCACCUGGAACCCUUCACCUCAUGUCGCCUUGACACUUUGAGACACUACGACGAUGCAGCUAUAUACAGCCCACCCUGCUGUCGCAGUCAUUCAGUGUGGAUAGUUUCGAUCAGUGCAUGCUGCAGACGUGUUUAGUGUUACGACUUUAGUGUCUAGUGGACUACUUUAUAUGACUGUAUUUCAUCCGUUUAUUUUAGUCUCUUAGUGUAUUGUGAAUUAAGUUUGCAAUGGGUAAAUUUGUAACCAAAAAGGUACGCUUGGAAGUUGAUUAUACUGCAAGUCAACCUCCAACAAUUAUUGUGUCAUCAAUUGCUUCGUCGUCUUCAGAUGAGAACCGUUCACAGACGAAACCUAGACAAUCUGAUAAGGGAAGAUCAUUUCAGAAGUCUUGGUAGAUCAAAUAUACAUGGCUAGAAUAUGAAGCACCUACGGAAUAAGUAUUUUUGCAAAACCUGCAAAGAGGCAGAUGCUAAAAAAAAUCUAUUACAAUUUCUU